RNAcentral lists this ribosomal RNA (253 nucleotides) under uncultured bacterium. Its description in RNAcentral is "partial 16S ribosomal RNA". It matches the Rfam family "Bacterial small subunit ribosomal RNA", at positions 524 to 776 of the family's 1533-position model. The record is from RNAcentral.
UACGUAGGGGGCAAGCGUUGUCCGGAUUUAUUGGGCGUAAAGAGCGUGUAGGCGGCCACACAGGUCAGCUGUGAAAACUCGAGGCUCAACCUCGAGACGUCGGUUGAAACCGUAUGGCUAGAGUCCGGAAGAGGAGAGUGGAAUUCCCGGUGUAGCGGUGAAAUGCGCAGAUAUCGGGAAGAACACCCGUGGCGAAGGCGGCUCACUGGACCAUAACUGACGCUGAUGCACGAAAGCUAGGGGAGCAAACAGG